Molecule: ribosomal RNA, 253 nt
Filed under: uncultured bacterium
Lineage: Bacteria
Description: partial 16S ribosomal RNA
Rfam family: Bacterial small subunit ribosomal RNA
Source: RNAcentral
UACGAAGGGGGCUAGCGUUGCUCGGAAUCACUGGGCGUAAAGCGCACGUAGGCGGAUUCCUAAGUCGGUGGUGAAAUCCUGGGGCUCAACCUCAGAAUUGCCUCCGAUACUGGCAGUCUCGAGUGCGGGAGAGGUGAGUGGAAUUCCCAGUGUAGAGGUGAAAUUCGUAGAUAUUGGGAAGAACACCAGUGGCGAAGGCGGCUCACUGGCCCGUAACUGACGCUGAGGUGCGAAAGCGUGGGGAGCAAACAGG